GCUCCGGUGGUGUAGUGGUUAUCACUUCCGCUUUACACGCGGACGGCCGUGGGUUCGAUCCCCACCUGGAGCA
Molecule: non-coding RNA, 73 nt
Organism: Contarinia nasturtii (swede midge)
Lineage: Eukaryota; Metazoa; Arthropoda; Insecta; Diptera; Cecidomyiidae
Source: the annotation of a RefSeq genome assembly